UCCAGGAGGAAGAAAGAGACAACAGCAACAACCUGUUUUGCUGUAACAGUGUAACAGAAAAGCCCAGCCAGCAGGUGAACAACACCCAGGAAUAGCUGAAUUCAAGGAUAAGAUAUUAGUUACAGGCCAAUAGUCCUUUGGGGAUCCUGAAGCUGGAGAGCAUCACUGGGAACAAAGGAGAAACUGGUGUUGGAAAGAGACGGAUAGGAACCCUACACUGGACUACACAACCAAAAUCAAGAUUGCAGAAAAUGAAAUUAAUCUCUCAAAUGAAUUAUGAAAAAUUAUGAAAAUGAGGAACAGAUUGUGAAAAAAUGGG
This 319-nucleotide long non-coding RNA is filed under the name Numida meleagris (helmeted guineafowl). RNAcentral describes it as "lncRNA (ENSNMEG00000021930.1)". Lineage: Eukaryota; Metazoa; Chordata; Aves; Galliformes; Numididae. The record is from RNAcentral.